RNAcentral lists this ribosomal RNA (468 nucleotides) under uncultured bacterium. Its description in RNAcentral is "partial 16S ribosomal RNA". It matches the Rfam family "Bacterial small subunit ribosomal RNA", at positions 28 to 507 of the family's 1533-position model. The record is from RNAcentral.
GACGAACGCUGGCGGCGUGCUUAACACAUGCAAGUCGAACGGAAAGGCCCUGCUUUUGUGGGGUGCUCGAGUGGCGAACGGGUGAGUAACACGUGAGUAACCUGCCCUUGACUUUGGGAUAACUUCAGGAAACUGGGGCUAAUACCGGAUAGGAGCUCCUGCUGCAUGGUGGGGGUUGGAAAGUUUCGGCGGUUGGGGAUGGACUCGCGGCUUUUCAGCUUGUUGGUGGGGUAGUGGCUUACCAAGGCUUUGACGGGUAGCCGGCCUGAGAGGGUGACCGGCCAAAUUGGGACUGAGAUACGGCCCAGACUCCUACGGGAGGCAGCAGUGGGGAAUAUUGCACGAUGGGCGGAAGCCUGAUGCAGCAACGCCGCGUGCGGGAUGACGGCCUUCGGGUUGUAAACCGCUUUCGCCUGUGACGAAGCGUGAGUGACGGUAAUGGGUAAAGAAGCACCGGCUAACUACGUG